Molecule: transfer RNA, 76 nt
Filed under: Photobacterium sanguinicancri
Lineage: Bacteria; Pseudomonadati; Pseudomonadota; Gammaproteobacteria; Vibrionales; Vibrionaceae
Description: tRNA-Leu
Rfam family: tRNA
About the family: Transfer RNA (tRNA) molecules are approximately 80 nucleotides in length.
Source: RNAcentral
GCGGAAUUGGUAGACGCACCAGAUUUAGGUUCUGGCGCCGCAAGGUGUGAGAGUUCAAGUCUCUCCGUCCGCACCA